This 87-nucleotide small RNA is filed under the name Alkalihalobacillus trypoxylicola. RNAcentral describes it as "Bacillus trypoxylicola BsrC". It matches the Rfam family "BsrC". From Rfam's summary of the family: The 301 nucleotide sequence from Kouji Nakamura has been trimmed to a highly conserved ~85 nucleotide long core to form this family. Lineage: Bacteria; Bacillati; Bacillota; Bacilli; Caryophanales; Bacillaceae. The record is from Rfam by way of RNAcentral.
AUUACCUAAAACAAUGAAAGCCCUACCUCUCUUUCAUCCUUACGACUCCUCGGUCGCGCCAGUGUGAAUUAAAGUAAAGAAGGCUAA